Molecule: small nucleolar RNA, 127 nt
Organism: Rattus rattus (black rat)
Lineage: Eukaryota; Metazoa; Chordata; Mammalia; Rodentia; Muridae
Product: small nucleolar RNA SNORA17
Exons: 1
Source: RefSeq, a predicted model, not a curated record
CCUGCCCCUAGAGGCACUGCAGGUGUGUCUGCUGUGUGACAUGAAUGUCAGUGGGUGGCAGAGAAGAGAGACUAUGUCUAUGCUCAGUGUUCUGAUCUAUGAAUUGAAAGAUUACUAGCCUGACACG